UUGAGCGCUGGCGGCAGGCCUAACACAUGCCCGUCGAACGGUAACAGAAAGCAGCUUGCUGCUUUGCUGACGCGUGGCGGACGGGUGAGUAAUGUCUGGGAAACUGCCUGAUGGAGGGGGAUAACUACUGGAAACGGUAGCUAAUACCGCAUAACGUCGCAAGACCAAAGAGGGGGACCUUCGGGCCUCUUGCCAUCGGAUGUGCCCAGAUGGGAUUAGCUAGUAGGUGGGGUAACGGCUCACCUAGGCGACGAUCCCUAGCUGGUCUGAGAGGAUGACCAGCCACACUGGAACUGAGACACGGUCCAGACUCCUACGGGAGGCAGCAGUGGGGAAUAUUGCACAAUGGGCGCAAGCCUGAUGCAGCCAUGCCGCGUGUAUGAAGAAGGCCUUCGGGUUGUAAAGUACUUUCAGCGGGGAGGAAGGGAGUAAAGUUAAUACCUUUGCUCAUUGACGUUACCCGCAGAAGAAGCACCGGCUAACUCCGUG
This 489-nucleotide ribosomal RNA is filed under the name uncultured bacterium. RNAcentral's name for it is "partial 16S ribosomal RNA". It matches the Rfam family "Bacterial small subunit ribosomal RNA", at positions 30 to 507 of the family's 1533-position model. The record is from RNAcentral.